AGCGCACAGGCGAGAGGCCGUCGCUGCCGGGCUCCCACGACAGGAGAACGCGGCGGGCGCGCACGUCCUUCUGAGGCACGGCGGGGCGGCUGGUGGGCUGCGGGCGAGCUGGCGGGGGACAGGAAGCAGACGCGUGAAAACGCGAUUCAACUUGACCUCACGUUACCUCGUUUCUCCGUGGUGACCACCAGCGCCUCAGCAGCCUUGCCCCAGCCCUUGCGCGUCUGCGCCGUGAUGCGGAACACGUAGACGCACUCAGAUUUGAGGCCGGUGACGGUGUACUGGCGGGCGCUGGGGUUGAGCACGUCCACGGUGGCGGUGUUGCCGUUGCUGGAGUUGAGGUGGUACGUGAUCUGGAUGAUCCCGUUGGGUUGGGAGGGCGACUGCCAAAUCAGACGAACCCAAGUGGUGCGCACCUCCGGGAACAGGAUGCCCAUCGGUGGUCCUGGCACUGCAGGAGGGAGAUGAUGUCACGAUGAUGACAUUUUUCAAGCCAUG
Long non-coding RNA from Hippocampus zosterae (dwarf seahorse), 498 nucleotides. RefSeq lists it as uncharacterized. NCBI's taxonomy places the organism in Eukaryota, Metazoa, Chordata, Actinopteri, Syngnathiformes, Syngnathidae. The transcript is spliced from 3 exons. The record is from RefSeq and is a predicted model, not a curated record.